RNAcentral lists this unclassified non-coding RNA (337 nucleotides) under soil metagenome. RNAcentral describes it as "partial contains 5.8S ribosomal RNA, internal transcribed spacer 2, and large subunit ribosomal RNA". The stretch from base 1 to 120 matches the Rfam family "5.8S ribosomal RNA", at positions 35 to 154 of the family's 154-position model. The record is from RNAcentral.
GAUUAAGAACGUAGCGAAAUGCGAUAAGUAGUGUGAAUUGCAGAAUUCAGUGAAUCAUCGAAUCUUUGAACGCACAUUGCGCCCCUUGGUAUUCCAUGGGGCAUGCCUGUUCGAGCGUCAUUUGUACCUUCAAGCCUUGCUUGGUGUUGGGUGUUUGUCUCGCCUCUGCGCGCAGACUCGCCUCAAAACAAUUGGCAGCCGGCGUAUUGAUUUCGGAGCGCAGUACAUCUCGCGCUUUGCACUCAGAACGACGACGUCCAAAAGUACAUUUUUACACUCUUGACCUCGGAUCAGGUAGGGAUACCCGCUGAACUUAAGCAUAUCAAUAAGCGGAGGA